This is a small nuclear RNA of Callithrix jacchus (white-tufted-ear marmoset), 107 nucleotides long. Lineage: Eukaryota; Metazoa; Chordata; Mammalia; Primates; Cebidae. The record is from Ensembl.
GUGCCUGCCUCAGCAGCACAUAUACUAAAAUUGGAACAAUACAGAGAAAAUUAGCAUGGCCCCUGCACAAGGAUAACAUGCAAAUUUGUGAAGCAUUGCAUAUUUCU